GAUGAAGAACGUAGUGAAAUGCGAUAAGUAAUGUGAAUUGCAGAAUUCAGUGAAUCAUCGAAUCUUUGAACGCACAUUGCGCCCGCCAGUAUUCUGGCGGGCAUGCCUGUUCGAGCGUCAUUUCAACCAUCAAGCCCCGGGCUUGUGUUGGGGACCUGCGGCUGCCGCAGGCCCUGAAAUGCAGUGGCGGGCUCGCUGUCACUCCGAGCGUAGUAGUUACAUCUCGCUCUGGGCGUGCUGCGGGUUCCGGCCGUUAAAAGCCUUAUUUACCCAAGGUUGACCUCGGAUCAGGUAGGAAGACCCGCUGAACUUAAGCAUAUCAAUAAGCGGAGGA
This 334-nucleotide unclassified non-coding RNA is filed under the name soil metagenome. RNAcentral describes it as "partial contains 5.8S ribosomal RNA, internal transcribed spacer 2, and large subunit ribosomal RNA". The stretch from base 1 to 120 matches the Rfam family "5.8S ribosomal RNA", at positions 35 to 154 of the family's 154-position model. The record is from RNAcentral.